ACUCAAAGGAAUAGACGGGGGCCCGCACAAGCAGCGGAGCGUGUGGUUUAAUUCGAGGCUACACGAAGAACCUUACCCGGGUUAGACAUCUACCUGGUAGUGAACCGAAAGGGGAACGACCCGCAAGGGAGGGUAGACAGGUGCUGCAUGGCUGUCGUCAGCUCGUGUCGUGAGAUGUUCGGUUAAGUCCGGUAACGAGCGCAACCCUCGGGAGUAGUUACACGUGUCUACUCCAACUGCCCGGUGAAACUGGGAGGAAGGUGGGGAUGACGUCAAGUCAGCAUGGCCUUUAUAUCCGGGGCUACACACACGCUACAAUGGUCGGUACAAUGGGUCGCCAAGCCGCGAGGCGGAGCCAAUCCAGGAAAGCCGAUCUCAGUUCGGAUUGCAGGCUGCAACUCGCCUGCAUGAAGUUGGAGUUGCUAGUAAACGCGCAUCAGCUAUGGCGCGUUGAAUACGUUCCCGGGCCUUGUACACACCGCCCGU
RNAcentral lists this ribosomal RNA (486 nucleotides) under uncultured bacterium. Its description in RNAcentral is "partial 16S ribosomal RNA". It matches the Rfam family "Bacterial small subunit ribosomal RNA", at positions 899 to 1397 of the family's 1533-position model. The record is from RNAcentral.